UUCGAGCCGACGCCGAGUUCUGCCCACGGUUCGAAGCUCCCUCCAGACCAUUCAGGGCAGAAGCGGGGGAACCAGGUUCCACCGGGUGACCAGAGUCGCUGGUCGCCCUCGGGGUUAAGUCAUCCGUGCGCGGAUGACCGGGCUUCCCGGCCCGCACCCGACAGCUAACUCCGUAGGCGUACGGGAAGGAUCA
Molecule: small RNA, 193 nt
Filed under: Frankia sp. AcoPraII.1
Lineage: Bacteria; Bacillati; Actinomycetota; Actinomycetes; Frankiales; Frankiaceae
Description: ydaO-yuaA
Rfam family: c-di-AMP riboswitch aptamer (ydaO/yuaA leader)
About the family: This family represents a conserved RNA structure found upstream of the ydaO and yuaA genes in Bacillus subtilis and related genes in other bacteria. The ydaO/yuaA element is thought to act as a genetic "off" switch for the ydaO and yuaA genes in its native state. It is believed that the element may be triggered during osmotic shock leading to activation of ydaO, a predicted amino acid transporter gene, and members of the yuaA-yubG operon which code for KtrA and KtrB K+ transporters.
Source: RNAcentral